CGACCUGCCUCGCUCACUCAGGAAACCUUGCAGAAGACAAGAGAGUUGGAAAUUUGUCAUUACUGAGGUAGCCCUGAAUCUACAGUACUUUGUCAAAGUAAUACUUUUUAAAAAAAAAAAUGUUCACAACUUGGAGUACCUCAUUAAUAACGAUCAAUUCCUUGGGUCAUAUCUCUCCACUGACCACAACACACUUGGGUAACCAUGGGCGUAAGACCCUUGAGAACUGUAUGAAGUGACACCCACCACCAGACCAAAGUCCCCCAGUUGAUUCUACAUGCCAGCCAACACUGAAGAUUUUAUGUAUAAAAACAAACGGUGGGGAGUUCCCGUCAUGGCGCAGUGGUUAACGAAUCCGACUAGGAACCAUGAUGUUGCGGGUUCGGUCCCUGCCCUUGCUCAGUGGGUUAACGAUCCGGCGUUGCUGUGAGCUGUGGUGUAGGUUGCAGACGCGGCUCGGAUCCUGCGUUGCUGUGGCUCUGGCGUAGGCCGGUGGCUACAGCUCCGAUUCAACCCCUAGCCUGGGAAUCUCCAUAUGCCGUGGGAGCGGCCCAAGAAAUAGCAACAACAACAACAACAACAACACACACACAAAAAAAAAAACGAAUGGUGGGAGUUCAUGGCUCAGUGGUAAUGAAUCCAACUAGUAUCAGUGAGGAUGUGGGUUCAAUCCCUGAUCUCACUCAGGGGGUUGAGGAUCUGGCAAUGCCCUGAGCUGUGGUGUAGGUCACAGAUGCAGCUCGGACUGGAGUUACUGUGGCUCUGGUGGAAGCCAGCAGCUGUAGCUCUGAUUCGACCCCUAGCCUGGGAAUUUCCAUGUGCUGCAGGUGUAGCCCUAAAAAGACAAAAAAAAAAAGCUAACAGUCAUCAAUUUCUAUUUAACCAGAAGUUUGGGCAUCAAAUAAAAAUCAGCCUGAUGAUAUUUUACUGCUCCUGCUCCUUUGAAAUUCUUGCAAAGUACUCAAAGCUUAGAUCUAUGUGGUAAUAACUUAAAACAAUGGUGUAUCUUUUAAAUAAGUAAACUUUUUUUUUUUGGCCACACCUGCAGUAGGUGGAAGUUCCUGCACCAGCAAUCAAACCUGCACCACAGCAGCAAAAACAGCAGAUCCUUAACCCACUAUAGCUGGGAUUUGAACCCAAGCAAAUCUGACCCAGAGCUCGUAAGCUUAACCUUUACACGACACAAGAAACUUGAAAAAUCCUACAGUCUAGAAGGAGACUGAAGCAGUGGUUUACACAAGAGCUGGUUCUCAAAUUGUUAUGUGAGCUUCUCAUCUCUGCUCUAUGUUGUCAGUGAGCAAUGAAAGAAAAGAAAAAGAAAUAAAGAACAAAGGUGAGGAACUAGAGCGAAGGGUAUGGCUAAGCUACUUUCCCUGCAAAAGGCCACAAAGCAUCAAGAACUCAGAUUAAUUCAUCCAAAGGUUAAAAGAGGGAUUUUUCCUUUUGAGACGAUAAAGAUGAAAUAUGUUGACUUGUCUGGAGGCUAAAGAAUAAUUAGAAAGAUUCCUCAGCAGAUAACUGAUGAAUCCAGGGGGUGCUGGCUGCCUGGUGGACUCAAUGCAGGACUGGGGAACCUCUUGGUGGGCCAGCCUUGAGCAGGACACAGAGACCUGAGGCUCACCCACUGGGACAGUCAUCAGCCUUGGAUAACCAUAGCAAUAACACUGCUGACAAAAAUCCAGGGAGUUCUUUAGAAUUACAAACCCUCCUAGCCAUCACAGAACUGGAUUACAACCAACCUGUGAAGUACAAAUUAUCCUCUGGUUUACAGAUGAAGAAAGUGAGAUGCAGAGAGGCUAAGUGCUGUACUCGCACAGGUGAGACUCAACUUUCUGACGUCAAAGUACCUCCCUCUUAUCACAUCCCUUGGUGUAGAUGUUACUCAAUCGCUAGAUGGGCAGUAGAAACUCAGUGUGGGUGGGCAGCCUGCGACUGGGGCUCACACCCCAGCUCAAAUAUUUCCUGGCCGCUGGAUGACCCUUGGGGCAAGUUUCUUAAGUGCCUGUUUUCCAGGCUGAAAUUGAAUGAGUUAAUGUAUAUCAAGAGUAAAUCCAUGUGGCUGUAAUAGUAAGUAUUCAUCAGGUAUUAGUUUUUUAUUAGUUAUUAUUCACUUAUUUAACAAACUUUGCUCAGAUAGGUAUUCUGCUACAGGUCUGUGGGCUUAGUCCAGACAAUACGACAAUCCUGCCCAAAGGUGACUCACAGUCCUUGGAUGACCAACACAAAGAGAGGUAUAUAAAGCAAGGAGGAGGAAAACAACACUGACACAUUAUGGAAUAAAACAGGCACAUACAGGGACAUUUAUCCAGAGCAGCCUGUGAAGCAAAAUCUUUAAAUUCCAAGAACGAUGCCACAAACUGAUAUAUGGUUUCAAAUUAAAAAUCAGCAUAUGGAUACUUCAUAAAAACAAAAUAUUUAGAAUUGAGGACCCUUAGUUCAAAUCUCAAUUCCAUAACCUACCAACUUUGUGAUUUUCAUCAUCUUACUUUUCAGGGCAUCUAUCUACUCACCUCUAAAAGUGAGAUUAAAUAAUCAUACACCUCACAUGCUUGUUAAGCAGAUGAAAUGAUGUAGGUGAAAGUGCUCUGGAAAUUUUCAAACGUCAUUGUAAGUAUUACUAAUCACAGUGGAGGGGGAGGAUCAAGAGUAGAGGAAAAGAGGGCAAACAACACCCAAGCAUUUGCUGAGGUGCCUGAGCAGCCACAACAAGCAGGGGUUCUGUCCUGCUCCUGUAGUCCACAUGUGUGCAAGGGUGGUGAAUCUCCUUGAAAAGCACAGACAGGGAUGGAGCCCCAAUUUUAAAUACACACAGCUAGUUUCCUCCGGCAGUCAGCUUCUGUCUUAUUCUCAGGCCCUGUGGACAAUUCUGUGAUUUGGGCAUCUUCCCUUGGGGAAACCACGCUGCCCGCCUCUGCUGGUUUGCACCUGGAAGCCACCACCUGUCUCCACCCUGGGGGCUUUGUGUCCCCUGGAGCUCACUCUCUAGUUGCAGAGAAGGCCACUACCAGACACAGGACAUGGGUGGAGAGUCCAUCCCAAACCAUCUGCAGAAAUGUUUUUCUUCACCAUGACCCCCCUGGAGGCCUGCCAAGCAACACUGAUUUGGGCCCCAAGAGGAGAGCUCUGAGUGUGCCAAGUGGACAAAGACAGUGAAGGUAUGUGCAGUGGGCAGUGCCUGGGGAGCGACGUGGCAUCAUAAAAGAGCCUGGGGACUGAGAGAAUGAUGAGCAGAGCAUGGAGUACAGAGGAGAUGAAGGGGUGGCAAGUGAAGGCCAUGCCUGUCAGGCUUGGGAACUUUAUACCCAUAAGGGAAUAAAGCAGAGGAGGGACAUAAUCUUUCUGAAGAGGUCACCCUGGCCACAGAGUCACAGAGAACAGACUAGAAGUUGGAGCACCUAGUGGCAGAGAGGCCAGGUACCUAAAAGGGAUGGCACAGAUGAGGCCAUGAGGGCGUGGACUCCAUUCCAGUGAGUACCCAUCAUGGCUCAGUGGUUAACGAACCCAACCAGCAUCCAUGAGGAUGCGGAUUCAAUCCCUGGCCUCACUCAGUGGGUUAAGGAUUUGGUGUUGCUGUGAGCUGUGCUGUAGGUUGCAGACUCGACUCAGAUCCCACAUUGCUGUGGCUGUGGUGUAGGCUAGCAGCUACAGCUCCAACUGGACCCGUAGCCUGGGAACCUCUAUAUGCUGCUGGUGUGGCCCUAAAAGACAAAAAGACAAAAUAAAUAAAUUAAUUAAAUUAAAUUGAAAAAGGCAAAAUCAGGGAGUUCCCACCGUGGCUCAGAACUAACAAACCUGACUAGUAUCCAUGAGGAUGCAGGUUCAAUCCCUGGCUUCCUUCAGUGGGUUAAGGAGCCAGUGUUGCUGUGAACUGUAGUGUGUGUCGCAGAUGCGGCUGGAAUCUGGGGUUGCUGUGGCUGUGGUAUAUAUAGGCCAGUGGCUACAGCUCCAAUUGGACCCCUAGCCUGGGAACUUCCAUAUGCUGCACCUGUGGCACUAAAGAGACAUUAAGAAAAAAAAAAAAGGUGGAGUUCCCGUCGUGGCGCAGUGGUUAACGAAUCCGACUAGGAACCAUGAGGUUGCGGGUUCGGUCCCUGCCCUUGCUCAGUGGGUUAACGAUCCGGCGUUGCCGUGAGCUGUAGUGUAGGUUGCAGACGCGGCUCGGAUCCUGCGUUGCUGUGGCUCUGGCGUAGGCCGGUGGCUACAGCUCCGAUUGGACCCCUAGCCUGGGAACCUCCAUAUGCCGCGGGAGCGGCCCAAGAAAUAGCAACAA
RNAcentral lists this long non-coding RNA (4270 nucleotides) under Sus scrofa (pig). RNAcentral describes it as "lncRNA (ENSSSCG00045021646.1)". The record is from RNAcentral. Lineage: Eukaryota; Metazoa; Chordata; Mammalia; Artiodactyla; Suidae.